AACCGGGGGUAGCACAGUUGGCUAGAGCGUGUUAUGUUGCAGGCGCGACUAGUCACUGUUUAUCGUGCCCGUGGGUUCGAUUCCCAGCUCCGUCA
This is a non-coding RNA of Rhamnusium bicolor, 95 nucleotides long. The record is from the annotation of a GenBank genome assembly. Lineage: Eukaryota; Metazoa; Arthropoda; Insecta; Coleoptera; Cerambycidae.